GAUGAACGCUGGCGGCGUGCCUAAUACAUGCAAGUCGAGCGAACAGAUGAGGAGCUUGCUCCUCUGACGUUAGCGGCGGACGGGUGAGUAACACGUGGAUAACCUACCUAUAAGACUGGGAUAACUUCGGGAAACCGGAGCUAAUACCGGAUAAUAUAUUGAACCGCAUGGUUCAAUAGUGAAAGACGGUUUUGCUGUCACUUAUAGAUGGAUCCGCGCCGCAUUAGCUAGUUGGUAAGGUAACGGCUUACCAAGGCAACGAUGCGUAGCCGACCUGAGAGGGUGAUCGGCCACAAUGGAACUGAGACACGGUCCAGACUCCUACGGGAGGCAGCAGUAGGGAAUCUUCCGCAAUGGGCGAAAGCCUGACGGAGCAACGCCGCGUGAGUGAUGAAGGUCUUCGGAUCGUAAAACUCUGUUAUUAGGGAAGAACAAAUGUGUAAGUAACUAUGCACGUCUUGACGGUACCUAAUCAGAAAGCCACGGCUAACUACGU
Molecule: ribosomal RNA, 496 nt
Filed under: uncultured bacterium
Lineage: Bacteria
Description: partial 16S ribosomal RNA
Rfam family: Bacterial small subunit ribosomal RNA
Source: RNAcentral